This is a long non-coding RNA of Scylla paramamosain (green mud crab), 1105 nucleotides long. RefSeq lists it as uncharacterized. NCBI's taxonomy places the organism in Eukaryota, Metazoa, Arthropoda, Malacostraca, Decapoda, Portunidae. The transcript has 5 exons. The record is from RefSeq and is a predicted model, not a curated record.
CUGAACCAUAGCUCGGCGUAUCCAGCCCAAGGUCCGGCCAGUGACGCGGUGUGUCUUGUGUGAUGUGCACGUGUAUAGGAUUCUAUUAAUCUUCAAGGACUUACUUGGGGCCAAGAUAAACUGGAUUUCCCAAGUCUUACUCGAAGUCUGUUACCAGUAAUAUAUCAGGCAACAUUAGUGGAAAAACAGUGGACUCCGUCACUGUUUUCGACAAGACAGAUGUUAUCAGAGCUUCAUUCUUUGUUGUCUACUUACGUGGAUUUUCUCUACCAACAUGGAUCGACUUUACGCCUGAGCAAGUCUAGUGCUGACUUGCUGGUCCCAGGUCUGGCUGGCGUGGAGGGCCAUCAUGUAUCACCCACACACGCAUCAAUGUAAGUACUUCGCCUUCGUCCCACGCACAACUGACUACUUGAUACUGUAAGUUACCCAUAGAAAGUUCCGAAAUGUGUAGUCUCUGCCCUCCUUACUGUGCACCAACUUUCUGGUACUGACAAACUAAAAAAAGCUACUGACUUUUUUGUGAUCGUAGUGUUGAUAGGUAAAUGUAGUCCCAGAUGAGGGUAAACAAUAAAAAUGUAGUUGAGCUAAAAAUACUCAGCAUACCAAGAUUUCUUUCACGAUGACUGGACGACACAACACUGAGUUUGGGAACACUGGGCCGCGCUGAUCAAGCGAGACGGGACUGGAUUUACCGGGAUUGGUCGGAUCGGGCUUCGCUAAGGUUGAGUACCAGUGGAAGAUUUGCUUAGGACUUGGUGAAGUGGUAGAGAAGAAACGAAAUUUACUUGUCUUUCUUUUAUGUAAAGAUAAUUGGUCUAGUGUUACUAUUUGCAAACUAUUGAUUAUUGAUCAUCUUGUGUUCCUGAUGUAUUAAUUCUCAUGCUAUUACCUCAUAUGCUAAUUUGAUUGAUAAAAUUUAUUCAUUCUUUGUGUGUGUGUGUGUGUGUGUGUGUGUGUGUGUGUGUGUGUGUGUGUGUGUGUGUGUGUGUGUGUGCUGACAUAAUGUUGAAAAAAAUAAGCGAUUAUCAGGCUAAAAAUAUAUUGGUUUAUUAAAACUAAUUAAAAUGCAUAAAAAACAAACAUGAAAUAUAACAAUAGAGGU